This 454-nucleotide ribosomal RNA is filed under the name uncultured Parabacteroides sp. RNAcentral describes it as "partial 16S ribosomal RNA". It matches the Rfam family "Bacterial small subunit ribosomal RNA", at positions 341 to 792 of the family's 1533-position model. The record is from RNAcentral. Lineage: Bacteria; Pseudomonadati; Bacteroidota; Bacteroidia; Bacteroidales; Tannerellaceae.
ACGGGAGGCAGCAGUGAGGAAUAUUGGUCAAUGGAGGCAACUCUGAACCAGCCAUCUCGCGUGAAGGAAUACGGCCCUACGGGUCUUAAACUUCUUUUAUAGGGGGAUAAAGUGAGAUAUGUAUAUCUUUUUGUAGGUACCCUAUGAAUAAGCAUCGGCUAACUCCGUGCCAGCAGCCGCGGUAAUACGGAGGAUGCGAGCGUUAUCCGGAUUUAUUGGGUUUAAAGGGUGCGCAGGCGGGCUGCUAAGUCUCCGGUGAAAUGUCAGGGCUCAACCUUGGCACUGCCGGAGAUACUGGCGGCCUUGAGAGUGGCGGAGGUAUCCGGAAUGUGUGGUGUAGCGGUGAAAUGCAUAGAUAUCACACAGAACACCGAUUGCGAAGGCAGGAUACCAUACCAUAUCUGACGCUCAGGCACGAAAGCGUGGGGAUCGAACAGGAUUAGAUACCCUGGUA